AUUGCUUCUUGGCCUUUUGCCUAAGAUGAAGGGCAGUAUUUAAGUUCUUAUCAACUUAAUGUCUGAUACGACCUCUAGCUGAGGACAAUAUAUACUAAGUGGACUUUCGGAGCAGGGAGAUGUAGUAAGAGCUUGCUCUGUCCACUCCAUGCAUCAACCUGGUAUUAUAGUAUCUCCAGGGACAGUGCACCCCAG
Molecule: small nuclear RNA, 195 nt
Filed under: Chinchilla lanigera (long-tailed chinchilla)
Lineage: Eukaryota; Metazoa; Chordata; Mammalia; Rodentia; Chinchillidae
Description: U2 spliceosomal RNA (ENSCLAG00000020639.1)
Rfam family: U2 spliceosomal RNA
About the family: U2 is a small nuclear RNA (snRNA) component of the spliceosome (involved in pre-mRNA splicing). Complementary binding between U2 snRNA (in an area lying towards the 5' end but 3' to hairpin I) and the branchpoint sequence (BPS) of the intron results the bulging out of an unpaired adenosine, on the BPS, which initiates a nucleophilic attack at the intronic 5' splice site, thus starting the first of two transesterification reactions that mediate splicing.
Source: Rfam by way of RNAcentral